CAGUCGCCGCGGUAAUCCGUAGGUCCCGAGCGUUGUCCGGAUUUAUUGGGCGUAAAGCGAGCGCAGGCGGUUAGAUAAGUCUGAAGUUAAAGGCUGUGGCUUAACCAUAGUGCGCUUUGGAAACUGUUUAACUUGAGUGCAAGAGGGGAGAGUGGAAUUCCAUGUGUAGCGGUGAAAUGCGUAGAUAUAUGGAGGAACACCGGUGGCGAAAGCGGCUCUCUGGUCUGUCACUGACGCUGAGGCUCGAAAGCGUGGGGAGCAAACAGGAUUAGAUACCCCAGUAGUCCCUGUCUCUUAUACC
RNAcentral lists this ribosomal RNA (301 nucleotides) under uncultured bacterium. RNAcentral's name for it is "partial 16S ribosomal RNA". It matches the Rfam family "Bacterial small subunit ribosomal RNA", at positions 509 to 808 of the family's 1533-position model. The record is from RNAcentral.